RNAcentral lists this ribosomal RNA (590 nucleotides) under uncultured bacterium. RNAcentral's name for it is "bacterial SSU rRNA". It matches the Rfam family "Bacterial small subunit ribosomal RNA", at positions 335 to 917 of the family's 1533-position model. The record is from RNAcentral.
ANUCCUACGGGAGGCAGCAGUCUAGAAGCUUCGGCAAUGGGGGAAACCCUGACCGAGCGACGCCGCGUGGAGGAUGAAGGCCUUCGGGUCGUAAACUCCUUUUAGUAGGGAAGAACGGCAGUUACGCUAAUAUCGUCUCUGUUUGACGGUACCACCAAAGGAAGCACCGGCUAACUCCGUGCCAGCAGCCGCGGUAAUACGGAGGGUGCAAGCGUUGUUCGGAAUUACUGGGCGUAAAGGGCGCGUAGGCGGCCUAUUAAGUCAGAUGUGAAAGCCCACGGCUCAACCGUGGAAGUGCAUUUGAAACUGGUAGGCUUGAGUAUCAGAGGGGAAAGUGGAAUUCCCGGUGUAGAGGUGAAAUUCGUAGAUAUCGGGAGGAAUACCGGUGGCGAAGGCGACUUUCUGGCUGAAUACUGACACUGAGGUACGAAAGCGUGGGUAGCGAACAGGAUUAGAUACCCUGGUAGUCCACGCCGUAAACGAUGUCAACUAGCCGUUGGGAGCUUGAGCUUUCAGUGGUGCAGCUAACGCAUGAAGUUGACCGCCUGGGGAGUACGGCCGCAAGGCUAAAACUCAAAUGAAUUGACGGA